Molecule: long non-coding RNA, 2169 nt
Organism: Hippocampus comes (tiger tail seahorse)
Lineage: Eukaryota; Metazoa; Chordata; Actinopteri; Syngnathiformes; Syngnathidae
Exons: 2
Source: RefSeq, a predicted model, not a curated record
UAUGCGAUUUUGAAUGGGUGGGUUUUGAGAUGGGAAUAGUGUUGUUGCAGGUAAGCGCUCUCUGGAUGUUAUGGAAAAGCGUGUUGGAAAUGGAAUACAUCAUGACUUGAAAUCUGUUUGGGUGAUCAACAACGUGCUCGCUGUGCGCACUUUGCCUGCUUUGUGGAUAAAAUCACGAUUUCGACAUUUGUCUCUCAAAGUAAAUAAGUCCCAGCUGAUGCAUCUGUGAUGUUUUCUUAUUUAUUUAUUUUUAUUCGCUUAUUUAUUUAUUUUGCAGCAGCAGCAGCAGCAGCAGCAGCAGCGGGAUGUCGACAUUAAACAGCGGGGGUGUGAUUGUUUUCUCUGUUACUUUAUUUUAAAUAAAUUAACGAGUGGUUUGAAAAGAUGCGUUUGUUUGUUCUUUCCUGACUCGCUGUAAACUUUUAAUUGUGCUGUUGAGGGCAGUCUUCCAUGCACUUUAUAGACUAACAGCUCCAGUCACACGGUGGAAUUCCUAUUAUUGGGCCAUUGUUUAUGAUUAUUGGACAUUUCCUAAAUCCUACAGAAUACUUUUGAAUUAGUGUCCAAUAUUUUGAUAUCACAAAAGGAGCACAUAAGGUCGUUGAUGGGAGAAUUGUCUGAUGCCGCUGUAGCAAAGCACAAGGAAAUCUCCCCGAGAGCUUAAAGGCAGCUUUGCAGUCAGUGGAGGCUAUUUGCAAAACGUGGCAAUGGCAUCAGCUUGUUUACUGCCCUUCGUGACAAAAGGUGCUCGCACAUGAUGCAUCCAAGUACAAAGAAAGCAGACAGCUGUCCAGACACAGCACUUGAAUUUGACCACUAAAAAUCGCCUCUAUACGUCCACCAUAAAACUCGCAAUGGCUGUAGUAACACUAAAUCCUUUUGUUGUCCCCCCCCCCCCCCCCCCCCAAAAAAAAACAAAGCUGAGAAUGAAGGGAGUUCAGAUGUUGCUAACCAGAGAUUGCGCGCACCUCACAGCACAAUACUCCAUCGGGCAUAUUUUGCUUCAAGUGACGCAAUGUCAAGCAAAAGAACGUUUCCGCGUUGCAUUUAUUUCAUUACAACGAAGAAUGUAAGACUUGAAGUGGGGUUGAACGACUAACAUGGUCCAAGGGAAUAUUUGAGGCGACAUACAAGACACAAGGCCCCUGUAUGACGUCCGGCCUGGCAGUUGUUGCACAUGCAGCGUUAAAGGAAUAUUAGUAUCGGCCUCCAUGACACAGACUGCUGUUAUCAGACUGCAUCCAGUUGACUCCACAGGAAUGUGCGUGAUUUUCAGCUACACAAGCGCGUGAAGCACGAGAAUGAAGGAAAUGUGAAGAUUGAGACUGCACGUUGAAAAGUGCGAGCAGGUUCCAAGGAAGCAAAUCGUUACAAGCGUGCACGGCCAAUGGGCCUUUCGCAACAUUUACAUUGGGGCGUUUGUCAUCAUGUGUCAAAACGGGAGCAGCAAACGUCCAUCACUUGGAAAUAUUUGCCUGUUGGGGCUUUUAAGACUGCCUAUCGCCGCACUGGUGCGCGCGCAUGAGCAAAGAAUGAGCUUUAUCGUGUGUUUAUUUCCUUGGAUGGCUGACUCACAGCAGCUGAUAUGCUUCUCGCAGUAGGACCCUGGACUACCACCCGCCUACUCCUGCGGGUUGCUUGCACCAAAUGCGCAGCCUGUUUGCGCAAAAAUGCCAGGUGAUCAAUAGCACGUCGACCGCUGUCAAAUACGAGCGAUUAUGCGAUAUCGUCGUCGCGUCUUUGUUGAGAGCUGCUCGCAGAAGGCGUUGCCCUGCACGCAAACGCCAGCUCCGUCUCGAUGAGCGACACUGUGCAAUCGGUUCGUGUCCUGACACGCAUGUCCACGAGCACCGAGGUCAGGAAGAAAAUGGAGCUGUGCCGAUUCCUCGCGGGACAUAACGAUUCGAGUGAGCGUGGACCGAAAAGACAACAAGAAAAGCUCACAAUGCUGGACGCAAACGCGUGCUCGUGUUGCACUUCAGACAUACGCACGCAGCCGCACGAACUAUCAUAUCCUUGCUUGACUGAGCCUUGGCAGAAUGCAGCGCUUGCUGGCUGCACGGUACACAGCAGACAAGGCCGACUUUUAUCGCUUCAUUGCUUCUUAUGCAAAUGUGCGCACCUCCGGUGCAAACCAGGGCACGAGGGGGUGCAUGUAUGUAAAAAGAA